CCUACGGGAGGCAGCAGUGAGGAAUAUUGGUCAAUGGGCGGGAGCCUGAACCAGCCAAGUCGCGUGCGGGAAGAAGGUCCUAUGGAUUGUAAACCUCUUUUGCCGGGGAGCAAAAGACGCCACGCGUGGCGGUCUGCAGGUACCCGAAGAAACAGCAUCGGCUAACUCCGUGCCAGCAGCCGCGGUAAUACGGAGGGUCCGAGCGUUAUCCGGAUUUAUUGGGGUUAAAGGGUGCGAAGGCGGACGGUCAAGUCAGCGGUAAAAUCGCGGGGCGCAACCUCGUACCGCCGUUGGAACGGGACGUCUUGAGUGCAGGACAGGCAGGCGGAAUUCGUGGUGUAGCGGUGAAAGGCGUAGAUAGCACGAGGAACCCCGAUUGCGAAGGCGGCCUGCCGGGGUGCAACUGACGCUGAGGCUCGAAGGUGCGGGUAUCAAACAGGAUUAGAUACCCCUGUAGUC
RNAcentral lists this ribosomal RNA (459 nucleotides) under uncultured bacterium. Its description in RNAcentral is "partial 16S ribosomal RNA". It matches the Rfam family "Bacterial small subunit ribosomal RNA", at positions 338 to 795 of the family's 1533-position model. The record is from RNAcentral.